Molecule: ribosomal RNA, 427 nt
Filed under: uncultured bacterium
Lineage: Bacteria
Description: bacterial SSU rRNA
Rfam family: Bacterial small subunit ribosomal RNA
Source: RNAcentral
UGGGGAAUUUUGGACAAUGGGCGAAAGCCUGAUCCAGCCAUGCCGCGUGCAGGAUGAAGGCCUUCGGGUUGUAAACUGCUUUUGUACGGAACGAAAAGACUCCUUCUAAUAAAGGGGGUCCAUGACGGUACCGUAAGAAUAAGCACCGGCUAACUACGUGCCAGCAGCCGCGGUAAUACGUAGGGUGCAAGCGUUAAUCGGAAUUACUGGGCGUAAAGCGUGAGUAGGUGGUUUCUUAAGUCUGCUGUGAAAGCCCCGGGCUCAACCUGGGAAUUGCAGUGGAUACUGGGGAGCUAGAGUGCGGCAGAGGGGGAUGGAAUUCCGCGUGUAGCAGUGAAAUGCGUAGAUAUGCGGAGGAACACCGAUGGCGAAGGCAAUCCCCUGGGCCUGCACUGACGCUCAUGCACGAAAGCGUGGGGAGCAAACA